Molecule: ribosomal RNA, 497 nt
Filed under: uncultured bacterium
Lineage: Bacteria
Description: partial 16S ribosomal RNA
Rfam family: Bacterial small subunit ribosomal RNA
Source: RNAcentral
GAUGAACGCUGGCGGCGUGCCUAAUACAUGCAAGUCGAGCGAACGGACGAGAAGCUUGCUUCUCUGAUGUUAGCGGCGGACGGGUGAGUAACACGUGGAUAACCUACCUAUAAGACUGGGAUAACUUCGGGAAACCGGAGCUAAUACCGGAUGAUAUUUUGAACCGCAUGGUUCAAAAGUGAAAGACGGUCUUGCUGUCACUUAUAGAUGGAUCCGCGCUGCAUUAGCUAGUUGGUAAGGUAACGGCUUACCAAGGCGACGAUGCAUAGCCGACCUGAGAGGGUGAUCGGCCACACUGGAACUGAGACACGGUCCAGACUCCUACGGGAGGCAGCAGUAGGGAAUCUUCCGCAAUGGGCGAAAGCCUGACGGAGCAACGCCGCGUGAGUGAUGAAGGUCUUCGGAUCGUAAAACUCUGUUAUUAGGGAAGAACAUAUGUGUAAGUAAAUGUGGACAUCUUGACGGUACCUAAUCAGAAAGCCACGGCUAACUACGUG